Molecule: ribosomal RNA, 582 nt
Filed under: Pseudomonas sp. StFRB192
Lineage: Bacteria; Pseudomonadati; Pseudomonadota; Gammaproteobacteria; Pseudomonadales; Pseudomonadaceae
Also listed under: 2 other names
Description: bacterial SSU rRNA
Rfam family: Bacterial small subunit ribosomal RNA
Source: RNAcentral
ACGGGUGAGUAAUGCCUAGGAAUCUGCCUGGUAGUGGGGGAUAACGUUCGGAAACGAACGCUAAUACCGCAUACGUCCUACGGGAGAAAGCAGGGGACCUUCGGGCCUUGCGCUAUCAGAUGAGCCUAGGUCGGAUUAGCUAGUUGGUGAGGUAAUGGCUCACCAAGGCGACGAUCCGUAACUGGUCUGAGAGGAUGAUCAGUCACACUGGAACUGAGACACGGUCCAGACUCCUACGGGAGGCAGCAGUGGGGAAUAUUGGACAAUGGGCGAAAGCCUGAUCCAGCCAUGCCGCGUGUGUGAAGAAGGUCUUCGGAUUGUAAAGCACUUUAAGUUGGGAGGAAGGGCAGUUACCUAAUACGUAAUUGUUUUGACGUUACCGACAGAAUAAGCACCGGCUAACUCUGUGCCAGCAGCCGCGGUAAUACAGAGGGUGCAAGCGUUAAUCGGAAUUACUGGGCGUAAAGCGCGCGUAGGUGGUUCGUUAAGUUGGAUGUGAAAUCCCCGGGCUCAACCUGGGAACUGCAUUCAAAACUGUCGAGCUAGAGUAUGGUAGAGGGUGGUGGAAUUUCCUGUGUAGCG